UACGUAGGGUGCGAGCGUUAAUCGGAAUUACUGGGCGUAAAGCGCACGUAGGCGGCUUUUUAAGUCAGGGGUGAAAUCCUGGAGCUCAACUCCAGAACUGCCUUUGAUACUGAGAGGCUCGAGUCCGGGAGAGGUGAGUGGAACUGCGAGUGUAGAGGUGAAAUUCGUAGAUAUUCGCAAGACACCAGUGGCGAAGGCGGCUCACUGGCCCGGUACUGACGCUGAGACGCGAAAGCGUGGGGAGCAAACAGG
RNAcentral lists this ribosomal RNA (252 nucleotides) under uncultured bacterium. Its description in RNAcentral is "partial 16S ribosomal RNA". It matches the Rfam family "Bacterial small subunit ribosomal RNA", at positions 524 to 776 of the family's 1533-position model. The record is from RNAcentral.